Molecule: unclassified non-coding RNA, 376 nt
Filed under: fungal sp.
Lineage: Eukaryota; Fungi
Description: partial internal transcribed spacer region
Rfam family: Eukaryotic small subunit ribosomal RNA (bases 1-46)
Source: RNAcentral
AAGUCGUAACAAGGUUUCCGUAGGUGAACCUGCGGAAGGAUCAUUAUCAAAUUAUCCAAAACCUAAUGGGUAGUUCCUGGAAACAGGAAUUACCCUAAAACCAAACGUGAACUGUGUUUUGCCUCUAAUUGACGUGGAUGUAAAAAAACAAAAUGGGAAAGGAAACUUUUCUAUUUUGUUUUUGUCAGUUAGAGUGUAUUUUUUCUAAUUACAUCUACACACUUUUAACCAAUUGAACCGUUUUAAUUUUAUAUUGAAUUGUUUGAACUGAAUUUGUUUCUUACCUUCACUUUUCAACCAAAAGAGGAGGAAGAAAACAUAAUUUACGAAACAAUAAUAAUAAAUAUAACUCUUAGCAACGGAUAUCUUGGUUCUC